UACAGAGGGUGCGAGCGUUAAUCGGAAUUACUGGGCGUAAAGGGCGCGUAGGUUGUUUUUUAAGUGAGAUGUGAAAUCCCUGGGCUUAACCUAGGAAUUGCAUCUUAUACUGGAAGACUGGAGUACUGUAGAGGGUAGUGGAAUUUCCGGUGUAGCGGUGAAAUGCGUAGAUAUCGGAAGGAACACCAGUGGCGAAGGCGGCUACCUGGACAGAUACUGACACUGAGGCGCGAGAGCGUGGGGAGCAAACAGG
Molecule: ribosomal RNA, 253 nt
Filed under: uncultured bacterium
Lineage: Bacteria
Description: partial 16S ribosomal RNA
Rfam family: Bacterial small subunit ribosomal RNA
Source: RNAcentral